GUCCACGCCCUAACGAUGUCAACUGGUUGUUGGGAGGGUUUCUUCUCAGUAACGAAGCUAACGCGUGAAGUUGACCGCCUGGGAGUACGGCCGCAAGGUUGAAACUCAAAGGAAUUGACGGGACCCGCACAAGCGGUGGAUGAUGUGGUUUAAUUCGAUGCAACGCGAAACCUUACCUACCCUUGACAUGUCUGAAAUCCUGCAGAGAUGUGGGAGUGCUCGAAAGAGAAUCAGAACACAGGUGCUGCAUGGCCGUCGU
RNAcentral lists this ribosomal RNA (259 nucleotides) under uncultured bacterium. RNAcentral describes it as "partial 16S ribosomal RNA". It matches the Rfam family "Bacterial small subunit ribosomal RNA", at positions 793 to 1055 of the family's 1533-position model. The record is from RNAcentral.